UACAGAGGUUCCAAGCGUUAUUCGGAUUCACUGGGCUUAAAGGGUGCGCAGGCGGCCAUGUGUGUUCGGUGUGAAAGCCUGGAGCUUAACUCCAGAAUUGCACCUAAAACUACAUGGCUAGAGCAUUGGAGAGGGUAGCGGAAUUCACGGUGUAGCAGUGAAAUGCGUAGAUAUCGUGAGGAACACCAGAGGCGAAGGCGGCUACCUGGACAAUUGCUGACGCUCAGGCACGAAAGCGUGGGGAGCAAAAGGG
This 253-nucleotide ribosomal RNA is filed under the name uncultured bacterium. Its description in RNAcentral is "partial 16S ribosomal RNA". It matches the Rfam family "Bacterial small subunit ribosomal RNA", at positions 524 to 776 of the family's 1533-position model. The record is from RNAcentral.